RNAcentral lists this ribosomal RNA (513 nucleotides) under uncultured bacterium. RNAcentral's name for it is "partial 16S ribosomal RNA". It matches the Rfam family "Bacterial small subunit ribosomal RNA", at positions 28 to 507 of the family's 1533-position model. The record is from RNAcentral.
GACGAACGCUGGCGGCGUGCUUAACACAUGCAAGUCGAACGAGAGCGUAGAGAAAGCUUGCUUUUUCUACAAUCUAGUGGCAAACGGGUGAGUAACGCGUAAACAACCUGCCCUACGGAUGGGGACAACAGCUGGAAACGGCUGCUAAUACCGAAUACGUUCCGAAAGUCGCAUGACUAUCGGAAGAAAGGAUGGCCUCUAUUUAUAAGCUAUCGCCGGAGGAGGGGUUUGCGUCUGAUUAGCUAGUUGGAGGGGUAACGGCCCACCAAGGCGACGAUCAGUAGCCGGUCUGAGAGGAUGAACGGCCACAUUGGAACUGAGACACGGUCCAGACGCCUACGGGAGGCAGCAGUGGGGAAUCUUCCGCAAUGGGCGAAAGCCUGACGGAGCAACGCCGCGUGAGUGAAGACGGCCUUCGGGUUGUAAAGCUCUGUUAUACGGGACGAAUAAUCUUGUGGUUAAUACCCAUGAGAAGUGACGGUACCGUAAGAGAAAGCCACGGCUAACUACGUG